RNAcentral lists this ribosomal RNA (396 nucleotides) under Triticum aestivum (bread wheat). Its description in RNAcentral is "partial small subunit ribosomal RNA". The record is from RNAcentral. Lineage: Eukaryota; Viridiplantae; Streptophyta; Magnoliopsida; Poales; Poaceae.
AUGUCGCCGCCAAGUUCGCCGGAGGAACAAGAACGCCCGCCGAGUCCUGUGGUGGCUACACGAGGGGCCCUUAAGAUGAGUGAUGAACAUCCGUUGAGCCGUCCAAUGUUGCCUGUGGCAACUACACCGGAGCCGUCGUCUCCUUUGACUUCACCGCCAUCAUCUCCGUCGACUUCGCCACAAGACAAUCUGCCACCACCUCCGCCGAUUUUGCCGGAAGACCAUCAGCCGUCACCUAGACCUACUUUGGUUCAGAACAUUGAGGAGGACUUUGAUAACCGACCUUCAAAAAAAGCAAAAAUUUCUGAAUCAAGUGUUCUGGAGCCAUCACCUAUGUCAACAUGUACUCCAGUUUCUGAGUGUUUUGAAUCGAUUGUGCCAAAAUCAGAUAAUUAG